Molecule: ribosomal RNA, 398 nt
Filed under: uncultured bacterium
Lineage: Bacteria
Description: bacterial SSU rRNA
Rfam family: Bacterial small subunit ribosomal RNA
Source: RNAcentral
AACGAACGCUGGCGGCGCGCCUAAUACAUGCAAGUCGAGCGAGAAGGUGUAGCAAUACACUUGUAAAGCGGCGAACGGGUGAGGAAUACAUGGGUAAUCUACCAUCGAGUGGGGAAUAACCAGCCGAAAGGUUGGCUAAUACCGCGUACGCUUCCGAGUCUUCGGGCUUGGAAGGAAAGCCGCACUGUGAGUGCGGCGCUCUUUGAUGAGCUCAUGUCCUAUCAGCUUGUUGGUAGGGUAACGGCCUACCAAGGCUUUGACGGGUAGCUGGUCUGAGAGGACGAUCAGCCACACUGGCACUGCGACGACGGGCCAGACUCCGUACGGGAGGCAGCAAGGUAAAGGAAUAUUGCGACAAGUGGGACGAAAGCCUGACGCAGCGACGCCGCGGUGGGGAU